GCCUGGUUGUCUCAGUCCGUAAAGAGUGUGACUCUUGAUCUUAGGGCCGUGAGUUCAAGUCUCACACUGGACA
Molecule: transfer RNA, 73 nt
Filed under: Canis lupus familiaris (dog)
Lineage: Eukaryota; Metazoa; Chordata; Mammalia; Carnivora; Canidae
Also listed under: 1 other name
Rfam family: tRNA
About the family: Transfer RNA (tRNA) molecules are approximately 80 nucleotides in length. Their secondary structure includes four short double-helical elements and three loops (D, anti-codon, and T loops).
Source: Rfam by way of RNAcentral